UGAGGAAUAUUGGUCAAUGGUCGGGAGACUGAACCAGCCAAGCCGCGUGAAGGAAGACGGCGCUCAGCGUUGUAAACUUCUUUUGUCAGGGAACAAAGGCGCCACGUGUGGCGUUCUGAGUGUACCUGAAGAAAAAGCAUCGGCUAACUCCGUGCCAGCAGCCGCGGUAAUACGGAGGAUGCGAGCGUUAUCCGGAUUUAUUGGGUUUAAAGGGUGCGUAGGCGGCGAGUUAAGUCAGCGGUAAAAGCCCGGGGUCUCAACCCCGGCCCGCCGUUGAAACUGGCUUGCUUGAGUUGGAGAGAAGUAGGCGGAAUGCGCGGUGUAGCGGUGAAAUGCUUAGAUAUCGCGCAGAACUCCGAUUGCGAAGGCAGCCUACCGGCUCCACACUGACGCUGAGGCACGAAAGCGUGGGUAUCGAACAGGAUUAGAUACC
RNAcentral lists this ribosomal RNA (433 nucleotides) under uncultured bacterium. RNAcentral describes it as "bacterial SSU rRNA". It matches the Rfam family "Bacterial small subunit ribosomal RNA", at positions 355 to 786 of the family's 1533-position model. The record is from RNAcentral.